RNAcentral lists this ribosomal RNA (440 nucleotides) under uncultured bacterium. RNAcentral describes it as "partial 16S ribosomal RNA". It matches the Rfam family "Bacterial small subunit ribosomal RNA", at positions 338 to 795 of the family's 1533-position model. The record is from RNAcentral.
CCUACGGGAGGCAGCAGUGGGGGAUAUUGCACAAUGGGGGGAACCCUGAUGCAGCGACGCCGCGUGGGUGAAGAAGCGCCUCGGCGCGUAAAGCCCUGUCAGCAGGGAAGAAAAUGACGGUACCUGAAGAAGAAGCACCGGCUAACUACGUGCCAGCAGCCGCGGUAAUACGUAGGGGGCAAGCGAUAUCCGGAUUUACUGGGGGUAAAGGGGGCGCAGGCGGCGGUGCAAGCCAGGAGUGAAAGCCCGGGGCCCAACCCCGGGACUGCUCUUGGUACUGCGUGGCUGGAGGGCAGGAGGGGCAGGCGGAAUUCCUGGUGUAGCGGUGAAAUGCGUAGAUAUCAGGAGGAACACCGGUGGCGAAGGCGGCCUGCUGGACUGCAACUGACGUUGAGGCCCGAAAGCGUGGGGAGCAAACAGGAUUAGAUACCCUUGUAGUC